Molecule: ribosomal RNA, 405 nt
Filed under: uncultured bacterium
Lineage: Bacteria
Description: bacterial SSU rRNA
Rfam family: Bacterial small subunit ribosomal RNA
Source: RNAcentral
AGUAAUAUAUCGGAACGUGCCCAGUAGUGGGGGAGUAACUGCUCGAAAGAGCAGCUAAUACCGCAUACAACCUGAGGGUGAAAGGGGGGGAGUCGCAAGACCUCUCGCUAUUGGAGCGGCCGAUAUCAGAUUAGCUAGUUGGUGGGGUAAAGGCCUACCAAGGCAACGAUCUGUAGUUGGUCUGAGAGGACGACCAGCCACACUGGGACUGAGACACGGCCCAGACUCCUACGGGAGGCAGCAGUGGGGAAUUUUGGACAAUGGGCGCAAGCCUGAUCCAGCAAUGCCGCGUGCAGGAAGAAGGCCUUCGGGUUGUAAACUGCUUUUGUCAGGGAAGAAAUCCUCUAGGUUAAUACCCUUGGGGGGAUGACGGUACCUGAAGAAUAAGCACCGGCUAACUACGUG